This is an RNA transcript of Musa acuminata AAA Group (dessert banana), 3330 nucleotides long. It is a transcript of the gene named DNA topoisomerase 6 subunit A-like, with no coding region annotated. The transcript is spliced from 3 exons. NCBI's taxonomy places the organism in Eukaryota, Viridiplantae, Streptophyta, Magnoliopsida, Zingiberales, Musaceae. The record is from RefSeq and is a predicted model, not a curated record.
UUCCCAACGAAGCCCUAGAAUGCAGAGAGGAAACAACCACUUGCCGUUCUUCUUCGACUUCUUACCCACCGCCGCUCUCCGUCUCGCUCCUCCUCGCCCGAUGUCGGAGAAGAAGCGACGCCGCACCGAAGCGGGCCCCCCGGCGGCCUCCGCCUCGGCCUCCGCAGCCUCGAAGAAGUUGCGGCGGCCGGACUCCCACGCCCAAGGGCUGCGGAAGUUGCUGAAGCCCGACGCCGAGAUCCUCGCCUCCGUCCGCGAGAUGUAUGAUGCUGCCCAGUCGGCCGCCUCCUCCUCCAAGGCCCUCACCCUCUCAGACCUGAGCCUCUCUGCCGCCUGCCGCGAGGUCUCCGACUGCGACGCCGCCUCCGUGCAGCUCGCCAUCGAGCGCGCCGUCCUUGCGAUGGCCCGCUCCAUUCUCGCUGGCCGCGGCUUCUCCUUCGAUGUUCCCUCCCGCUCCGCCUCCAACCAGCUCUACGUCCCCGAGCUGGACCGCAUCGUCCUCCGCGACAAGUCCUCCUCCCGCCCCUUCGCCAGCCUCUCCACCGUCCGCAAGGCCACCAUUACUGCUAGGGUCCUCUCUCUCGUCUACGCCGUCCUUCGUCGCGACAUCCACGUCACCAAGCGCGAUCUCUUCUACACCGACGUCAAGCUCUUCCAGGACCAGUCCCAGUCCGACGCCGUCCUCGACGACGUCUCCUGCAUGCUCGGUUGCACGCGAUCCUCCCUCCACGUCGUUGCCUCCGAGAAGGGCGUCGUAGUCGGCCGCCUGGUCUUCACCGAUGACGGUGAUCGCAUUGACUGCACCAAGAUGGGCAUCGGCGGGAAGGCCAUCCCUCCAAACAUCGACCGCGUCGGCAACCUCGAGAGCGAUGCCCUCUUCAUCCUCCUCGUGGAGAAGGACGCCGCCUUCAUGCGGCUGGCCGAGGACCGCUUCUACAACAGGUUCCCCUGCAUCAUCGUCACAGCCAAGGGCCAACCGGAUGUGGCCACCAGGCUCUUCCUUAGGCGGAUGAAGACCGAGCUCAAGCUGCCGGUCCUCGCGCUGGUCGACAGUGAUCCCUACGGCCUCAAGAUCCUCUCCGUGUACAUGUGUGGAUCAAAGAACAUGUCGUACGACAGUUCAAACUUGACGACGCCGGACAUCAAAUGGCUGGGUGUCCGACCGAGUGAUCUGGACAAGUACAGGGUACCGGAGCAGUGCCGUCUACCCAUGACGGAGCAGGACGUCAAGGCUGGGAAAGACUUGUUGGAGGAGGACUUCGUGAAGAGGAAUGGUGGGUGGGUCAAGGAGCUCGAUAUGAUGGUGAAGACACGGCAAAAGGCUGAGAUACAGGCCCUCAGUUCAUUCGGCUUCCAGUAUCUCACUGAGGUGUAUUUGCCCCUCAAGAUACAGCAGAGGGAUUGGCUAUGAACUUGUCUUCUGAAACCAGCAGUGGGUAACAUUCAAGCAUGGUGGGUACCAAGAUGAUCGUAAAGCAUGAACUCGUACCAUUUCCAGAUACUUAAUUUAAGAUGUAUACAGUUUUAUGAAUCAAAUUAGAUGUCCUUCCUAUGGAUUAAAUCGGCCAUGAGUUGUUCCAAAGAAUGCACAUUGUUGACCAAGCCGCAGUACACCGACUGAGAGUAGAGAGCUUCCAAGCCACGGAUCUGACAAAACAAUCGUCAAUCGUUCAACGCGAUGAGCUGUCUUCUUCUUCUGUCUGCAGUGCCGUCAGAAAAGUAAGUCCGGUCGUCUUGCAAUCUUUUUCUUCUUCUUCUUCUUCUUCUUCUUCUUCCAACCGGAAAACGAAGUGCAGUCAUCUAAUCUUUACUUGUGUUCUUUGUCUUUCCUGCUCCCCUAAUGCGGCUGGUGGAGCCCAUGGAGAUCGCAUCGGGGGGGACAAGCAAUUGAUAGCUUCGGAUUCGGAUUCUCUUGUUCAACAGACAAGAACCGGUCAAUGCUGCCUAACCUUUUACUUCUUAUCCUCUCGCAUGUGCGCUCUGCUUCACCCUCUCCUGUGCUCUUCCAUGGUUUCUUGGAGCUUCUGCCGAGGUGACCAGCCAUGCAACUGAUGUUGAUGUCAAAAUGCUGGACAGACAGCUUGGGAUCAAGGAACACAUCCAUCCAUGCAAGUUUGAACUCCUCCUCAGAGACAAGCAGCCAGUGAAUAUAUAUAUAUAUAUAUAUAUAUAUAUAUAUAUAUAUAUAUGCACAGAAAACAUGGAAUCAAACUGGAAGCUAUGAAUAUAUAAUAUAUAUAUAUAUAUGUGUACAAUAAUGAAUUCAUUUAAUACGGUCAAAAUAUCAUCACAAUAAGAAGAAUUGAAAAGCUCGUGUCCAAUUUUGCUUCCAAAACCAUACAUCAAUCAUCUAUCGACUUGGUGGACUUUAUCAGCUUAUCUCACCAUCAAAAAAGAAAGAAGCUGAGAAGCGCACUGCCGUACAUCAUCGACAGGCAUUCCGAGGCCGACGAAGCUCGAUCCGUCCUCACGAAAACACUCUGCUUACUUGGGUUCUAAUGCAGAUUGAUCUGGAACGGAUGACGCACGUGAUGAAAGAACUACGUAUCAUGUCAAAGCUUCCUGGAUUCUGGAAAUCUACAGUCAGCAGCGUAAUCCAGGACGAGAGUUACCGGUCUCACGUGUGAACGCAUCGCAUCGACCUCGGUGAUCCACAGGAACUGAACUCUCACAUGCGCCUCUCAGGUCAUCAGUUGACUCACUCUUGGAGGUCCUCUGUUGAACCAUUCAAAGCUUCCUCACUGUAACCGUGCGCUGCAAGGAAGCUAAAUCCUCCAUUGCCACCGCUAUAUAUACCGUCACCACAGCUCGGGCGUCUCUCCAUCGACACCAUCUCCACACCCUCCCAUCUGCUACUGGUCUCGUGAGCAAUGGAGUACCAAGUCCCUGAGAACAAGAGGAAGGGAAGGCCUCUGCCGAAGCGAGGCCAGGUUAAAGCCAGGAUCUUCGGAGGCCUACUCCGGGCAGUCAUGCCGAAGGCCUUCACGAACGGGGAGAAGCCCAAACAAGGCGGCGAUGGCUCCACUGCCGACGCCACGCCGACGCUGAGCGGCUAUACUUCGAGCUUCGAGGAUGGUUAGCGGUACCAGAAGGCUCUUCGCCUCCUGUGUACAGCUUCAGGUGCUCGUCCGAGCUCUGCAGGAAAGAGGAAAGAGAUGGAGCGGAAGAGGGGAGCAUCUGCGAGUCGGAUUGCGAUCCUUUUUUUGGUGUGGUUUAGAUCACCACCCCUUUUGAUCAUUCGACUCUAAUUAUAAGAGUCGAUGUCAUGUUUUCGAUGUAAACUCUUUUUGCUUGUGUAAAUGAAUGAAAUCUGUCGAGUUCUUUCUGCAA